RNAcentral lists this non-coding RNA (30 nucleotides) under Homo sapiens (human). Lineage: Eukaryota; Metazoa; Chordata; Mammalia; Primates; Hominidae. The record is from RNAcentral.
GUCAGCGUCUACAGGCCCAACCUCUGCCUC